GGUUGCCUGGCGAAAUGGUAUCGCGUCUGACUACGAUCCUCUGUCAUGGACUGUUAUAAUCAGGAGAUUGCAGGUUCGAGACCUGCGGUGAUCA
Phellopilus nigrolimitatus is the source of this 94-nucleotide non-coding RNA. NCBI's taxonomy places the organism in Eukaryota, Fungi, Basidiomycota, Agaricomycetes, Hymenochaetales, Hymenochaetaceae. The record is from the annotation of a GenBank genome assembly.